GAAAGUGAACGAUGCCGGCAGGCUAAUACAUGCAGUCGAGGGGCAGCAUUCACUUCGGUGGGAUGGCGACCGGCGCACGGGUGCGUAACGCGUAUGCAACCUACCUUGUACAGGGGGAUAGCCCGGAGAAAUUCGGAUUAAUACCCCGUGGUAUUAUGAUACGGCAUCGUAUAAUGAUUAAAGAUUUAUCGGUACAAGAUGGGCAUGCGUGACAUUAGCUAGUUGGUACGGUAAUGGCGUACCAAGGCGAUGAUGUCUAGGGGUUCUGAGAGGAUGAUCCCCCACACUGGUACUGAGAUACGGACCAGACCCCUACGGGAGGCAGCAGUAGGGAAUAUUGGUCAAUGGGCGGAAGCCUGAACCAGCCAUGCCGCGUGCAGGAAGACGGCCUUCUGGGUUGUAAACUGCUUUUACCAGGGAACAAAUAGGCCAUGCGUGGCAAGUUGAGUGUACCUGGGGAAUAAGCACCGGCUAACUCCGUGCCAGCAGCCGCGGUAAUACGGAGGGCGCAGGCGUUGUCCGGAUUUAUUGGGUUUAAAGGGUGCGUAGGCGGUUUAUUAAGUCAGUGGUGAAAGCCCCCAGCUCAACUGGGGAACUGCCAUUGAAACUGGUAGACUUGAGUACAGACGAGGUAGGCGGAAUUUAUGGUGUAGCGGUGAAAUGCAUGGAUACCACAAGGAACCCCGAUAGCGAAGGCAGCUUACUAGGCUGUAACUGACGCUGAGGCACGAAAGCGUGGGGAGCGAACAGGGAUUAGAUACCCUGGUAGUCCACGCAGUAAACGAUGACGACUCGAUGUGUGCGAUAUAUUGUACGCGUCUUAGCGAAAGCGUUAAGUCAUCCACCUGGGAGUACGCUCGCAAGAGUG
RNAcentral lists this ribosomal RNA (868 nucleotides) under uncultured bacterium. Its description in RNAcentral is "bacterial SSU rRNA". It matches the Rfam family "Bacterial small subunit ribosomal RNA", at positions 25 to 896 of the family's 1533-position model. The record is from RNAcentral.